This is a long non-coding RNA of Hippopotamus amphibius kiboko, 1821 nucleotides long. RefSeq lists it as uncharacterized. The transcript has 4 exons. NCBI's taxonomy places the organism in Eukaryota, Metazoa, Chordata, Mammalia, Artiodactyla, Hippopotamidae. The record is from RefSeq and is a predicted model, not a curated record.
GAGAAGUUGCGGAAGUCCAGCGCCGUGGCGAUGAGCCCACUGAGGGUCAGGGGCAUUAGCAGGGAAACUGAGGACAGCGCCUUUGUUACUCCAGGUGGGAACUGAUGCAGUUCUGGGGCUCAGGUGUUUCCUAGAGUGAGACUUAAUGCCAAAUUAUCAGACCUAGGGUAUCCUUCCUUCUAGAAAUUAUCCUCCUCUGAGCCCCCUUCAGAGGAUUUACUGAUAAUUCUGAUGGUUUUCCUGCCAACAGGCUGUCUGGAGGAGUCGCCAGCAGUGUGAGCUACUGUGAGUACCUGGAGCUUCUCCUUUGCUGGCCCAGCAGGAGUCAACCUUCCCCCUUCCUGAGACAAGGAGGGAGGAGCUCUCCGCUAGGAGGCCGGGGGGCCUGGGGCCCUGACCUCACUCUGUGUGUGGGAGGCAUCGUUCCUUUGUGGACAUUUCAGGAAGAUGCCCCUCAGGGCUGCCUUCAGGAUGGGUGUUCAGGGACCCAGAAGGGAUGCGCAGAGCUGCCCUGGCCCUCCCUCUGUCUCUCUACAGCCGUGGUGUCAGGCACAGUCUCUGCUUCUGGGGCAGCCUUGUCUGGUUUCAUCUCGGGGGGCAGCGUUUCUGUGAGGGGAGGCGGCACCCUCAGAGGAUCCCGUGCACCAUCUGGGUCUGUGUCCAGGGCUUUGGGGUCUGCAGGGACCAGUGAAGCUCCCAAGAGUGUGGAUCUGAAGUUGGGAAUUCUGGAGGUGCAAAUGCUAGUGCGAGAAAUGAGGGGUCCAGUCUGAGGAGCACCUGGGGCUCCAGCUCAGGGCACAGAAACUUGUAGGUCUCCCACCCAGAGGCAAAGUUGAAUCUUCUGGCCCUGAGGUGGUGUCCAUCGACCUGAGUAUUUUGCGGUGUACAUACCUGCUCUGGCCCUACUCCCACCUUUUAUUUUCUUUGGCAAUUUGGAAACAGCCCCCUGGGUCAAAAUAAGUUAUUUUUCUUUUCUUUUUUUAAUACAUCCAAAGUGGGGCCCCAUAGGAAACCCUUCUCAAUGGGCCUGCGGGAGGUCUGUCACCCUCCUCCCUGCCUUGCCCUGUAUCCCCGUAGCGAUCUUAGUCCACGCUGGCCCCUUCUGUCGUGCAGAAGCAAACGUGUUCCUUCUGUUCCAGUCCUGACGUGCGGGCAUGGGCACACCCCCUUUGCUGUCAUGAGUGUCAACUUUCUGUCAUCCACGUUCAGGAGUGUUAGGCAUCACCCCAGGAAUCGGCAGCCGUGGCUUAUCAAUCACUUGUUCUGAUUUGAUUUUCUAAAGCCCCCUCUGACUCAUUCUGGGGCAUCAGGCCUCCCACAGAGUCACAGAUCCUAGAUGCUCGCCCAAGGUGGGAGGCGAGGAGAAGAUCUACAGGGAGGUACGAAGAGGUGGUCAAGACCUCUGUCUACUGGGAAGGCAGAAACAGAAAUUGUGGAUGAGCACAUGUCCUAAAGAGGACAUUUUCAAGCCUCCUUGGCAAAUAAUUGUGGCCAUGAAACUGAGUUCUGGACAGUAGAAUGCCAGCAGAAAUCAUAUGUUCCUGGUUGUGCCCUUAAAAGGCAGAGCCGCUGAGAGUGAUUCAGGCUCAGAAGAAAAAAGUGUGAGCAGCGCAAUGUUGUAUAAAUGGAAUGAUACAGUCUGGAAGCUUGUUUUACUCAGCACGCUUCUCUGGAGAUUCAUCUAGGUGGUUGCACGUACCAAUAGUUUGUUGCUUUUCAUUGCUGAGGAGUACUCCAUGGUGUGGACGGACCAUAGUUUGUCACCUGCUGAAGAGCGUUCGGGUUGUUUGUAUUUUUUGGCUGCCACAAAUAAAACUGCUA